This 740-nucleotide ribosomal RNA is filed under the name Volvariella caesiotincta. RNAcentral describes it as "eukaryotic LSU rRNA". The stretch from base 265 to 419 matches the Rfam family "5.8S ribosomal RNA". The record is from RNAcentral. Lineage: Eukaryota; Fungi; Basidiomycota; Agaricomycetes; Agaricales; Pluteaceae.
AAGGUUUCCGUAGGUGAACCUGCGGAAGGAUCAUUAACGAACACGAACAAAGCCCCCCUCGGCUGAUGCUGGCCCCUUGGGGCACGUGCACGCCUUGGGCGCGCCUUUCGAUUCGCCUUCAACCCCCCCUUGUGCACUCCAUGUAGGUCGUCGACGGCGGCGGUUUCCCCCUCCGCCCCGGCGCCUACGAUUUCGUCUUUGUACGCAAACACCCCGAUCGCAUGUACAAGUGUACGCUUCUUUUAAUGUGAUAACACAAAAUACAACUUUCAACAACGGAUCUCUUGGCUCUCGCAUCGAUGAAGAACGCAGCGAAAUGCGAUAAGUAAUGUGAAUUGCAGAAUUCAGUGAAUCAUCGAAUCUUUGAACGCACCUUGCGCCCUUUGGCCAUUCCAAAGAGCAUGCCUGUUUGAGUGUCAUUGAAACCCUCAAGGCCCCCCCUUCUGCCCCCUCGCGGGCUUUCGGGGGAGGACCUUGGACUUGGGAGCGCUGCGGGGCCCUCGAGCGAACACGCUCGGGGCUCCGCUCUCCUGAAACGCAUCAGUAGGGCCCCAUCGUCCUUUCGGGUCUUCGCGGCGUUGAUAGUCGUCUACGCCUCGCCCCGUCGGGAACCUUUCCAAGCCCUGCUCCCCAACGCGCCUUUUCUUCCGUCCUCCUCCGGGAGAAGGGAAACAGAAAAGAAAAGGAAAAAGAGAACGCUUUGACCUCAAAUCAGGUAGGACUACCCGCUGAACUUAAGC